UACAGAGGGUGCGAGCGUUGUCCGGAAUCACUGGGCGUAAAGGGCGCGUAGGCGGCCUGAUAAGUAGGGGGUGAAAUCUUGCGGCUCAACCGCAAGGCUGCCUUCUAAACUGUCAGGCUGGAGCACGGUAGAGGCAGAUGGAAUUCCCGGUGUAGCGGUGGAAUGCGUAGAGAUCGGGAAGAACACCGGAGGCGAAGGCGGCUUGCUGGGCGUGAUCUGACGCUGAGGCGCGAAAGCGUGGGGAGCAAACAGG
RNAcentral lists this ribosomal RNA (253 nucleotides) under uncultured bacterium. Its description in RNAcentral is "partial 16S ribosomal RNA". It matches the Rfam family "Bacterial small subunit ribosomal RNA", at positions 524 to 776 of the family's 1533-position model. The record is from RNAcentral.